Rattus norvegicus (Norway rat) is the source of this 128-nucleotide small nucleolar RNA. Ensembl annotates it as small nucleolar RNA SNORA17. The record is from Ensembl. NCBI's taxonomy places the organism in Eukaryota, Metazoa, Chordata, Mammalia, Rodentia, Muridae.
CCUGCCCCUAGAGGCAUUGCAGGUGUGGCUGCUGUGUCCCAAGUGCGUCAGAAGGUGGCAGAGAGGAGAGAGGCUAUGUUUAUGCUCAGUGUUCUGACCGAGGAACAUCUGAUUAGCAACCUAACAUU